Molecule: ribosomal RNA, 393 nt
Filed under: uncultured bacterium
Lineage: Bacteria
Description: partial 16S ribosomal RNA
Rfam family: Bacterial small subunit ribosomal RNA
Source: RNAcentral
AUACGGAGGACGCGAGCGUUAUCCGGAUUCAUUGGGUUUAAAGGGUGCGCAGGCGGCCGUGCAAGUCAGCGGUGAAAGCCCGGGGCUCAACCCCGGAAGUGCCGUUGAUACUGCAUGGCUGGAAUGCGGUCGAGGCGGGCGGAACGUGGCGUGUAGCGGUGAAAGGCGUAGAUAUGGCUCAGAACGCCGAUAGCGGAGGGAGCUCGCCAGGCCUGCAUGGACGCUCGGGCACGAAAGCGUGGGGAUCGAACAGGAUUAGAUACCCUGGUAGUCCACGCCGUAAACGAUGGGCGCUCGUCGUCGGCGGCAGACAGUCGGCGGCCAAGCGAAAGCGAUAAGCGCCCCACCUGGGGAGUACGGUCGCAAGGCUGAAACUCAAAUGAAUUGGCGGGG